This 479-nucleotide ribosomal RNA is filed under the name Necrosciinae sp. 7 SB-2021. RNAcentral's name for it is "partial large subunit ribosomal RNA". The stretch from base 339 to 479 matches the Rfam family "Bacterial large subunit ribosomal RNA", at positions 2473 to 2612 of the family's 2925-position model. The record is from RNAcentral. Lineage: Eukaryota; Metazoa; Arthropoda; Insecta; Phasmatodea; Lonchodidae.
UAUUUUAAUGGCCGCGGUAUUUUGACCGUGCAAAGGUAGCAUAAUAAUUAGUUCAUUAAUUGUGGACUUGUAUGAAUGGUUUGACGAGAUAUUUACUGUCUCAUAUUUAUUAUUAUAAUUUGAAUUUUGAGUUAAAAUGCUUAAAUUUUAUUAUAGGACGAGAAGACCCUAUAGAUCUUUAUUUUACUUAUUUUUAAUUUAUUUUUGAUUAUUUUUUGUUAAUAAUAUUUAUUGUUUGGUUGGGGUGACAAUUAGAUAUAAUUAACUCUUUUUUAUUUAUUCAAUUAUUUUUGUUUAUAUGACUUUUUAUUAUUGUUAUAAGAUUUAGAUACCUUAGGGAUAACAGCGUAAUUUUUUUUGAGAGUUCAUAUCGACAAUGAAGAUUGCGACCUCGAUGUUGGAUUAAGAUAAGUUUUUGGUGUAGAUGCUAUUGUAAACUAAGUCUGUUCGACUUUUAAAUUCUUACAUGAUCUGAGUUC